RNAcentral lists this ribosomal RNA (497 nucleotides) under uncultured bacterium. RNAcentral describes it as "partial 16S ribosomal RNA". It matches the Rfam family "Bacterial small subunit ribosomal RNA", at positions 28 to 507 of the family's 1533-position model. The record is from RNAcentral.
GAUGAACGCUGGCGGCGUGCCUAAUACAUGCAAGUCGAGCGAACGGACGAGAAGCUUGCUUCUCUGAUGUUAGCGGCGGACGGGUGAGUAACACGUGGAUAACCUACCUAUAAGACUGGGAUAACUUCGGGAAACCGGAUCUAAUACCGGAUGAUAUUUUGACCCUCAUGGUUCAAAAGUGAAAUACGGUCUUGCUGUCACUUAUAGAUUGACCCGCGCUGCAUUAGUUUGUUGGUAAGGUAACGGCUUACCAAGGCAACGAUGGAGAGCCGACCUCAGAGGGUCGUCGGCCAGCCUGGAACUGAGGCUCGGUCCCGACUCCUACGGGGGGCCGCAGUAGGGACUCCUCCGCGAUGGGGGAGAGCCUGACGGAGCAACGCCGCGUGAGUGAUGAAGGUGUUCGGAUCGUAAAACUCUGUUAUUAGUGAAGAACAUAUGUGUAAGUAACUGUGCACAUCUUGACGGUACCUAGUCAGAAAGCCCCGGCUAACUCCGUG